Long non-coding RNA from Brassica rapa (field mustard), 7299 nucleotides. RefSeq lists it as uncharacterized. NCBI's taxonomy places the organism in Eukaryota, Viridiplantae, Streptophyta, Magnoliopsida, Brassicales, Brassicaceae. The record is from RefSeq and is a predicted model, not a curated record.
GUAAAUUCAGGGCCCAUUGUUUUACAUUUAUGGAUGUAUCAUAUGGCUAGAAUGACAUUUACGAACAAUAUAACAAGACAAAUAUGGUGUAUAACAGCAUCUCCGACCCAUAGAUAUUUCCACCUCUAUAAUAACAUUUAGAGGUGAAAUUACUCCAACCCACCUCUAUUUAUUCUUCUAUAAUAGAGAUCUCUAUUUUUUCCUCUAUUUAUAAAGGAAGAAAUAGCAUUCCUCUAUUUUUUACUUUAUAUUUAGAAAUUGCUAUUUUAGAAAAAUACAUUGGAGCAUAUCCCAUCUCUAUUAUAGAGUUCCUCUAUUUUAGAGGUAAAAAUAGCAAAAUACAUUGGAGAUGGUCUAAACCUCUUCAUCUUUGACUAGAAAGUAGAGUAUUUGGUCAUAUUCAUUUCGCUGUUUUUAGUUAGAUGUUGACAUGUUUUAUAUAUUGUUUGUUUUCUUAUAUCGUAAGCAAUGAAUCAGUGACUACAUUAUGUCUGUUUUGUAGUCGUUUGUCUAACUUGUUAAUAGAUUUUCAACAGCUAAAGAUCAAAAAUUUCAGAUUAGGAAUUAUUGUUGUUAGACUAUGUCGAACUAGUUAUUAAUUACAAGGAAACAUGAUGAGUUUAUCAUUGACACGUAUUUGUUAAACCAGCGAUAACAACACAAACAUACGGUUAAUUUCUCUACUUUACCAAAACUAGAUUGUUAUGAUCUCUGAUUCAGGUGUAGUAAAAACAUGAAAUGGAACCUUGGGGCAGUAUAAUGUGUAUGAACAUGUAAACCAUGUGUAUUAACUUCGCGCCUUCCUUCAAAUAGAACCUUAUACGCGAGUUUGUGGAGAGAGAAACAACAUUAAAGUUCCAGAUGGAAUCUAACUCUUAAAAGUACUACACACUCUACACAUAUUAAAACGAACAUUAGCAUAUACUCUUUCCUAUGUGUAUCAUAGUCGGCCAUCUGCUUUUCCUUUAUGUUUUCCCCUUCCCUAAAGGUCAAAUUGCCCUUGGUAAUAUCACGAGGAGUCAAAUUAGUGAGUCUACAUAUUUCAAAAUAAGUACAUGUGAACCGAUGAAAGAAAUAACAAAAGGUCUGAGAAAAGGCCCUAAAAAGAGCAAAAAAGGGAAACAUGUGGAGAAAAGAGUUUCCCACAGGCAAGUCAUGUGUUCAUAAAUCAUACUUAUGACAUCUCCUUAAUAUGCACUGAUAUUUUUAUCAUAUAUACAUGCAACUUGCCAUAUACCAGUAUAUAUAUAUUAAAUAUAUUUUGUCAGUCUUAAGUUAUCAAAAGUUUAUAAAUUUUGUGGCAGAUGCAAGUUCUAGAUUUUUGAGAAGUGAAUUGUCGCACUAAUUAAAGUGAUUCGAUUGUAUGAUAUGAUGAGCAUUUAUCUAUCUAGGGGUUAAAUAGAUUGGUCUAAGUUUGGAUAGAUCAUUUUGUAGAUAUCAAGUUUAACUUUCAUAUAAUGGAUCAUGUAGUUGUAUAUGUAUGACAUGACAUAUGCAUAGUUUUAUACAAGUCGAUCACUAUCACACUCUAGUGUUACCUAGAUUAUAACAUUCCCCCUUUUAUAAACCCAAAUAAACGUAUGAACAUGUAUGAAUCUUGAUUUAACUAGUCUCAAAAUCUUGUCCAGAAUCAUGUUAGCAUGAAAGUACGAUCACCAGUAGUAACUUAGAUUACUUUGAAAUUUAGAAAUUUUAGAUAACAUUUUUGUGGAGUAUAUUAUCUUAAAAUGGGUUCAUGUCACCUCUUGAUUAUUUAUUUGGGGGGAGGGGUGUUAUAAGACAAAGAUGGGUAUGAGAUUGUGAAUGUGCUGGUUAUAAGGUGGACAAAUAAAUUAGGGCGUUAACCAAACAUGUUUGUGUAGGCUCCCAUGUAUGUGCAUGUGUUUUGGUCUCUCAUGGCAUGGUGGUCUGGUUUAUGACAUUUUGGUUUUAUUCUGUAUUAUUUUUUUUUUGUUGGGGGUCUUGUUAUCACAUGUUUGUCUACUAUUGGAUAUAAGCUGGGCUGGAUUGUUACCAUAAAUGGAACCCAUGUGAUGAAAAGAUAGCUUGUGCAUAUAUCAUAUAGUUCGAGUGACUAGUAUAUGUAUAAUAUACAGAGAGGGUGAGUUGGUCUACUAAGAAGGAUAAGCUAUAAAAUAACUUUGACUUAUAGAUACAUUAAUAAACAUAUUCCAAUUGUAAUAUUUCUACAUAUCGUUAUGUCAAAAACGGCAUCCACCAAGCUUCUUAUAGAUGGAUCGGUCCCCAGUUAGUAAAUUCGAUAGCUUUCAAUAUUAUUUUACAUUGUGCACCGAGGUUUUUGCAUAAUUUUUUGGAAUGUGAACUAGUUUAACAGCAUUAUAAGCGCUCAGAAUGUCAAAUGUCGAACAUGGUUAACAAUGAGCUGUCACAAACCAAUCUUAUUAUAAACUAAGGUUUCGCCCAAGAUAUUGCAUAUUCUUAAAUUGAAAAGCACUCACAAGAAUGUUUUUUUUCACUCACAAGAAUGUUAAUUAUGUUUAUCUGUGUAUAAUUAUAUAUUGGAUGAAUUAGCCAAAUGACCAAAUUUGAAAAGGAAAUUAAGUGUAUAACAUUGAUUUUGACAUAAUAAAGCUCAUAACAAUUAUGUCAAUUUCUAUCCGGUAAUACCCUUAUUUUGUUCAAGUUGCCAGUAAUAGAGAGAGAAACUGAUGACAUCAACAAUUUGACACCCCCACAAUUAAUUAUCACACGUAAUUCAAUCAACACCACACUUUUGUUUAACAGAUAAAUAUACAUCUAAUUUUUCUAUACCAUAUUACUAAAAAUAAUAGGAUUCAAAAUCCACUCACACCUAGUAAAUACUAAACUUUAAUCCAAACCUCAACUCCAAAAUAAUAAACCCUAAACUUUAAACAUCACCCUUCCAUCUAAAUACUAAACUCUAAACCCUAAUUACUGAAUCCUAAACCCAAAUAUAAACCUUAAACCCAAUUAUCAAAAUCUGAAAAUAGUAUAUAAUAUUAUGUAAUAUUAAACUAAAUCCAAACAAAACUCCUCAAUGCUAAACUCAGACCUAACUUUUGAAUACUAAACCCAAAAAUGCUAUCACUAAACCCAAACCUAAACUCCCACCUUCCAAAUACUAAACCCUAAAUCCUAAUCACUAAACCCUAAACCCAAGUAUAGGCUAUAAACCCAAAUAGAAUGGAACAAAAUACAUAGUAUAGUAUAAAUUGGUAAGAAAAAAAAAACACUCUUUUUUAAUCGUCAAAUGGAACAUACAUAAUACGGUCACUAAACCCAAACAUCAACCCCCACCUUCCAAAUACUAAACCCUAAAUCUUAAUCAUUAAACCUAAACCCAAGUAUAAACUCUAAACCCAAAUAGUAUAGAACAAAAUAAAUAGUAUAGUACAUAUAGUUGUAAACAAGAAAUUGAUAAAUAAUGAAUUUAUCAAACAAUCGAUGGUACAAUAAUACAACAACCGUAGCAUACUAUUUAGUUUGGUACUUGCGAAUCGUACAAAAAUAUAAGAAUCGUACUAUACUAUAAUUUUCUUUCACUACAUAUAGUAUAGUCGACGAGUUCAUCUUCCUCUUUUUACAGACAUGGUGAUACACAGAUUCACUAGUCCAGAGUAAUUAUUCUUCAUCAUACCAUAUCAAUACAGCAUACUAUAACAAUUUAAAUAACAAAGAAAAAAAUCAAGAUGAACAACAUUGAAAAAAACUAAAAAAAAAAAAAAUUGUGAUGUCACCUCGUUGUUGUCUAUGGUGCCAUCUUCUCCUCCAAACUCAAUUCCACAAGCCCAAAAUCCAUAUUAUUUCUUAGUCUAGUGGUUUGUGUUCGUAUGUAUAAAAAAAACAGAGAUUGGAGGAGAAGAGGAAGAAGAAGAGAAAAAUAUGUGGAACAAUGAUAACCACAAUUUAUUAAAUUAUUUAUUUAAUAUUUCUUUUGAUAAAUAACUCUCAGCAGGUCACACAGGUUGAAUUGAAGGGUAAUAUAGCAUUAUUACAUAAAAUACAUGUACUGUAGAUGAAAGUUAGGGGUUUUAGUUAUGUAAUGAAUUAUAAUUUGUUUGAAUGUUAUACAGCCCAAUUUCCCUUAUAUAUUCUAUAUAUUCUAGAAAAUAAAUGCACAUCUAUAAACUUAGCAUCAUGUUGAAACGUUUUCUUGUGUUAUUAAAACUAGACAGCACGUCUUUUUUUGUUAACUAGUAUAUUAAAUAAAGUUCCGCAAAUAUACUAAGAACCUAAGAACAUCUCCGAUGAUAAACUUUAUUCUUUUCUUUAAAAUAUAAAGUUUUUCAAAAAAUGAAGAAGUAUGUUCUCCAAUAGUUUACUUCAUUUUUUUCUUAAAAGGAAUAUUCAAAUAUAUUAUUUUCACUUUUAUCAUUAUUUAUCAAUAACACUUUUUACUUUUGCUAGUUUACUAAUUUUACCUAGUUAUUUUAUUUUAACAAUAUCUCACCAAAAUUGCUAAUUAGUAUAAAAUAAACAUUAUCAUAUAAUAUAAUUAGUAUACAUAGCAUAAAUAAAUAACACAAAAACGCUAGAUUUUAUAAGGAAGCAUGAGAUGUAUAUUUUUCCCACAUAUGAUCAAUUAAAUUGUACCGAAGAGUGAAAUGCCUUUCUUGAUCUUUAAUUCUUCUAAACCGAGCAAAACAAUUCUUGAAAACGAAUAUUAUCAUGUUUUUCGAUAUCAACCUCUGGAAGUGGAACUUCCACCAACUUCAAUUGGAGCAUCAAGAUCACGUUUAUCUUCAAUUAUCAUGUUAUGUAGAAUUAUACAUGUAGUUAUUAUGUCAUGUAUUUCGGUUUUUAUAUUAUUUAUGUAAUUGUGUUUCAUCUAAAAUAUUAGUAAAAAAGAAAAAAAAUCUGUUUUUAGUUUAUUUAAUAUUUUAAAUUGAUUGAAUAAAAAUAACAAUAUAAAACAUUGAAAUUAAGUUGGUAAUAUUAGUUCUUAUAGGUUAUUUAAGUAAAAACUAAGAACAUGUUAAAGUUAAAGGACCAAUCUAUAAUUAAAAAAAUGUAUCUUCAAAAAAUGAAAAAGAAAUAUUAAUAAAACAAAAAAUGAAACAAAAAGUGGAAAAUAAAACUUCAUUGAAGAUGCUCUAAGACAUAGCUCGAAUGAAAUACAUGUGAUAAAACUGGUAAAGACAUACUUUCCGGAGUCAAGGACUCAAGAGCCCAAACAAAAAAAUUUAAAACAACAAUAAAAUCUUAAACAACAAGACUAUUCAUGAAACUCAACUCUUUUUUUUAUCGUUUAUUAGUGAGAGAACAAAAAAAAAACAAAAUAGAAAGAAAUGAGAUAGUAAUUCCAAACCAAAAUGUCAAAAGCACCGUAUAAGAAAAUCUUUUGUUUAACCCUCGUCUCAAAAUAAUCAGAGAUACAUCGAAGCUACAAACUCAAUCCGUCCAUCCCAUUAAUCAGAAUAUCUAUGGAUAUCUUAUUUAAAAUGAUUUAAGUUGCAUAGUUUUUUUAUCAGAGUAUUUUUAUCAGGAUACUUUAUUUUAUAAUUAAUACAAUAAUUAGUUAAGCGUUUAUCUACAACAUGAAAACUUAUGAUUUGAUAUAAAAAUUUAAUUUGCAUUUUCAUCUCAUUAUAUAUAUAAUACUACUAAGAUGAUUGACAUUUAUCAGACAUGACUAUACCAAUCAUAUGUUAGUAUGCGACAAUUUACUGACCUAUGAAAGUUUGAAUGUACUUUCUUAGGUUCAAAACUAGUUGACUAGUAAACGUGUUGAAAAUGUUACAAUAUAUGUAAGUAGUAAUUAAGAAAGGUGGCAAGGUUCCACAUAAAUAGUUAGAAAUUUGAUUUUAAUAAUCAAUUAAAAUCAAUUAUAAAAGGUUUCUCUCGUUCCUUUUUGUUUAGUAGUACAUUUGAGGAUGAUAACUUUCGUAUGAUUCGAAGCCAAAUCUAGAUCGAUCUGCAUGACCGCAAAAUCUAUUAAAACUGGACUACCCAGGAUUAGUCCAUCGCAACAUCCUAGAAGAAAAUGUUGGAAUUGAAAUUAUUUAAAUAAAUAGUGAGGAAGUUAGAAGAAGAGAUCAGUUUCAAAAAAAACAAAAAAAGGUUCGAAGAAGAGACGUAGUAAAUAAAGGGAGGCCCCCUCGUGUGGAACGUGAGCAGUACACUCCAAUUAUAUAACUUGUGCUCUGUCUUAACUUGUGGGGGCACCUGCCACUGUUCUGCUUCUUCUUCACUUUUUCUCUAUCUCUCUUCUUUCAACCACUUUUGUCCUUUCUCUUUCUCUCUUUCUCUCCCCCACACAUCUGUUAUCCAUUUUUGGGGCAGUGAAAAUUAAUUUCGUCGCUCCAAUCUUGUUGUUCUUACUUGAUCUAUAACUUUCAACAAUUUAUUACCCUUUUUCAUGUAUCAGAUUCUAUUUUCACCAAAAUAGAAUCUUUUUCAUUCUAGGUGAUUCAAAGUAGAGUAAAUAAAACCUUAGAAAUAGGUCUAUACUUGCUAUUUGUGACACCUAGCUACCUAUAUUAAGGUUUGAAUAGAAUUUCAACGUUUGUUAAUAUUAUGUGCUUAUUUCUUAUCCGAAUGAUGAAGGUUCAUAAGAUUUUCGGAGAUGCUUCUGUAAAAAAACUUUGCAAGGUGAUGUGGCCAAACAAAGACCACAAUGUGAACGUUUUUUUCUUAUCAUACCGGAGUGUAACUAAAAUUUGUGGUUUCAGAAAAAUAAUAUAAUAUAUCAGUUUAGAAAAUGUGAUCUAUUAUGAUCAGGACUUUUUGUAAAAUAUUAUAUGAUUUUUUGGGAUUAAAGAUAAGUGGGUUGGUAUGGAAAGUGUUAAUAUAAUUCUUUUGUUAAUAUAAAAAAUGUUGAUAUAAUUCAAAUAUUAUUUUUUCUUUCAUUUUGAGAUUUUAAUAGGGAAAAAAACUUAAAAGAUUCCUCCACUAUUUUCGAAAUCUGUCUUAUUUUCCAGAGUUUUCUGUAUCAGAGGAUAAGUUCAGUACUUCAAUAAUUGGUACCCAAUUUGUAACAUAAGAUUUUAGUAGUACGAAGUUAUUCUGCCGAGAGGAAGUACCCAUUUUUAUCUAACUGGCUGUAUACUGAAUAUCCAAAUUAUUAUUAGAAUUCUACUUAAAUAAAAUAAAUUAUAUUCAUUUCUGUAAAGAUAUAUAUUUAUGAUCGAACAAUGGUGUACAGCAGGUAUUAUGGAUCGCAGCUAUGCAUUCUAUUUUUACGUAACCUAUAAAUGUGGUACUAGUUAAUUACUUAUUGCUCAGACCAAAAAUAAUCAAUUAUAGUAUUAAAUGUUUUAAUUUACAUCAUACUAAGAAAUCAAUGCAUGAUUCAUUUAAUUAAGAAAGAAAAAACAA